GACUACACUCAUACCACGCUGAAUGUACCUGAUCUCAUCUAAUCUUGGAAGCUGAACAGGUUUGGUUAUUACUUGAAUAGGAGAAAACAUUCUUUUGAAAAGGGGUCC
This 108-nucleotide ribosomal RNA is filed under the name Phascolarctos cinereus (koala). The record is from RNAcentral. Lineage: Eukaryota; Metazoa; Chordata; Mammalia; Diprotodontia; Phascolarctidae.